UAUGUACAUUGCAGUGACAAGGUGAGU
RNAcentral lists this small RNA (27 nucleotides) under Bombyx mori (domestic silkworm). RNAcentral's name for it is "ovarian small RNA-6654". Lineage: Eukaryota; Metazoa; Arthropoda; Insecta; Lepidoptera; Bombycidae. The record is from RNAcentral.